RNAcentral lists this ribosomal RNA (632 nucleotides) under uncultured Bacillota bacterium. RNAcentral's name for it is "bacterial SSU rRNA". It matches the Rfam family "Bacterial small subunit ribosomal RNA", at positions 8 to 526 of the family's 1533-position model. Lineage: Bacteria; Bacillati; Bacillota. The record is from RNAcentral.
AGGGUUUGAUCAUGGCUCAGGACGAACGCUGGCGGCGUGCUUAACACAUGCAAGUCGAGCGCAUUCAGAGGUCGGUCAUCAGAGGUCAGAAGUUAGCUAUUGUCUUUUGGUUUCAAGCUGACAGGGGUUGUGGAGUUUAGCUGUUUAAUUUAAUUUCUUUUUGCGGAUGAAGGUUUGGCAGGAUUUUUUUCUGGCUUCUGACGACCGACUUCUGAGGUGAGCGGCGGACGGGUGAGUAACGCGUGGGUGACCUGCCUGGGAGACCGGGAUAACAGUUCGAAAGGGCUGCUAAUACCGGAUGAUAUCGUUUUAUUAGGGUAAAACGAUCAAAGCGUUUAGCGCUCUCGGAUGGGCCCGCGUCCCAUUUGUUAGUUGGUAGGGUAAUGGCCUACCAAGGCUGCGAUGGGUAGCCGGUCUGAGAGGAUGGUCGGCCACACUGGGACUGAGACACGGCCCAGACUCCUACGGGAGGCAGCAGUGGGGAAUUUUGCGCAAUGGGGGGAACCUUGACGCAGCGACGCCGCGUGGGUGAUGAAGGCCUUCGGGUUGUAAAGCCCUGUUGGGGGGGAAGAUAAUGACGGUACCCCCUGAGGAAGCCCCGGCUAACUACGUGCCAGCAGCCGCGGUAAUUC